GACGAACGCUGGCGGCGUGCCUAAUACAUGCAAGUAGAACGCUGAAGGAGGAGCUUGCUUCUCUGGAUGAGUUGCGAACGGGUGAGUAACGCGUAGGUAACCUGCCUGGUAGCGGGGGAUAACUAUUGGAAACGAUAGCUAAUACCGCAUAAGAGUAGAUGUUGCAUGACAUUUGCUUAAAAGGUGCAAUUGCAUCACUACCAGAUGGACCUGCGUUGUAUUAGCUAGUUGGUGGGGUAACGGCUUACCAAGGCGACGAUACAUAGCCGACCUGAGAGGGUGAUCGGCCACACUGGGACUGAGACACGGCCCAGACUCCUACGGGAGGCAGCAGUAGGGAAUCUUCGGCAAUGGACGGAAGUCUGACUGAGCAACGCCGCGUGAGUGAAGAAGGGUUUCGGAUCGUAAAGCUCUGUUGUAAGAGAAGAACGAGUGUGAGAGUGGAAAGUUCACACUGUGACGGUAUCUUACCAGAAAGGGACGGCUAACUACGUG
RNAcentral lists this ribosomal RNA (495 nucleotides) under uncultured bacterium. RNAcentral's name for it is "partial 16S ribosomal RNA". It matches the Rfam family "Bacterial small subunit ribosomal RNA", at positions 28 to 507 of the family's 1533-position model. The record is from RNAcentral.